ACGAACGCUGGCGGCGUGCUUAACACAUGCAAGUCGAACGGAAAGGCCCUGCUUUUGUGGGGUGCUCGAGUGGCGAACGGGUGAGUAACACGGGAGUAACCUGCCCUUGACUUUGGGAUAACUUCAGGAAACUGGGGCUAAUACCGGAUAGGAGCUCCUGCUGCAUGGUGGGGGUUGGAAAGUUUCGGCGGUUGGGGAUGGACUCGCGGCUUAUCAGCUUGUUGGUGGGGUAGUGGCUUACCAAGGCUUUGACGGGUAGCCGGCCUGAGAGGGUGACCGGCCACAUUGGGACUGAGAUACGGCCCAGACUCCUACGGGAGGCAGCAGUGGGGAAUAUUGCACAAUGGGCGGAAGCCUGAUGCAGCAACGCCGCGUGCGGGAUGACGGCCUUCGGGUUGUAAACCGCUUUCGCCUGUGACGAAGCGUGAGUGACGGUAAUGGGUAAAGAAGCACCGGCUAACUACGUG
RNAcentral lists this ribosomal RNA (467 nucleotides) under uncultured bacterium. RNAcentral describes it as "partial 16S ribosomal RNA". It matches the Rfam family "Bacterial small subunit ribosomal RNA", at positions 29 to 507 of the family's 1533-position model. The record is from RNAcentral.